Quercus lobata is the source of this 522-nucleotide long non-coding RNA. RefSeq lists it as uncharacterized. The record is from RefSeq and is a predicted model, not a curated record. NCBI's taxonomy places the organism in Eukaryota, Viridiplantae, Streptophyta, Magnoliopsida, Fagales, Fagaceae. The transcript has 3 exons.
AUUGCGAUACAGAGAAAGAGAAAGGGAAAAAGGGGAAAAACCUACUCUCUGCACAUCAGUCUUCUUAACUUUUUUUCUCUCUAAAAAAAACCCUAGCCAUACUACGAUAGAGGCGAUCUUUUCACAUCAAACUCCGCUACGAGAAAAGAAAAAAAAAGAAAGACUUGCGCCACAGUGGAGAUUCGAUUGAUCAUCGCUAUCCCCUUUUGAGUUUUCCAGAUCUAUCAUCUCUGCUCUGGCUUAUAAGACAGUUGGUAGCUAUUCAAGAAGAGCUACUUGAUUAAAUAUAAAGAAAUAUCUUCUAAGAGUGGGCCACAACUUUACUUGCAAUGUUAAGGCUGAUUAGUGUUUUAGUGUCUUAGCUAUGUCCGAGUCGAUUGAGAUGGCUCUAUUAGAAUCAUACACUAGCAUAAGUGGUUUACAAGAGAUUUGAGAGGCAGAUGAACUCUCUGCAAUGAACUAUAUGAAAACUUUGACAUCAAGCCUCCUAAGGUGUUUCUUUCCCUCCUUUUAUCUCUAAUU